CUGAAUUCAAAUAAAGUGGUAUAACACUAUACCUGGAACAACCUCAUUUUAAUUUCCACUUGGUUAGACAACAUGCUCUUAGACUUGCACCUUACAGUUCUCUUUUAUUAUAGCUCAAAUCUCACGAUGAGCAGAGAGAUCAUGCUGCUCAUCAGAUAGAGCUGCUCUAAUAUCAUCCCAGCUCUGGAGAUGUCUCGCAUUAACACUUCACAAGACUCAUCAGUUUCUGCUAUCUAGUUCAACUCAGGAACAAAAAGAUAUACCAUUUCUUUUAGUUCAUAUUUAAUAAAUUUACUGUAAAACUCACUGUCUAAAAGAAUGCAGAAAUUAUAUCAUGUGCUUAUAAUUCCUGGAAAACUUUUUUUUAAAAUCAGCAUCAUAUACUUCAAGUUACAGAUGGAGAAUAAAUGGAGUCUGGGAUGCGACAGGAGCAUUUGCAGCUGCUUUUUCUCAAAAGCAACAUUUUCUGAAAUUUUUCUGAUUUUCUAAAUUGUUGUGAUCACACAGUUUUCAGGUUAUUACUCCUGCAUCUCCACAUCAUCUGCUCCUAUCUCUUUGGAACAGCCUUAGCAUUCUUUCUCUUUGCCUGGGUCUUGGGGUAGAGAAGUUUCCACAAAGAGGACAGAAGUUCUUAGCCAAAAGCAAUUCAACAUCCUGGCUUGUCAGCAGUGGGAAAAAAUCCUGAGGGUGGAAGAACUUCAAGCAUUUACUGGGACUCCUGUCUGUCCAUCUGCAAUUCCCUUCCUAGUGUCAUUAAGAGAAGAGGUUUCAUGCCUGAUGCAUCUGUGUUCAUUCAAAUUUCAGCCCUGCCUCUUACUGUCUUUGGCAUGUUUGGGUAAGUCGCUUAACAUCUCUGAGCCUCAACACCUCUUCUGGAAAUUAGAGAUGAUGAUAAUAAUAAUACUUAUUGCUUAUAUAUUGCUGUGAGUAUUUCAUGAGAUAAUGUAUGUCAUAGUCUUAAUCAGUGUCUGGCACAUAAAAUAUGGGGA
RNAcentral lists this long non-coding RNA (989 nucleotides) under Homo sapiens (human). RNAcentral describes it as "HSALNT0270056". Lineage: Eukaryota; Metazoa; Chordata; Mammalia; Primates; Hominidae. The record is from RNAcentral.